AACCAUCAAAAAUAAUUAAGCGGCCUUAUUACAGUUAAAAACCUAAAACUUCAAACGUAAAUAAAAGGAUGUCCAGUUCACCAGAAGAAAAUCAAACUUUCAGAACGGGUGGCCACUCCGAAUUCCCUCACAACUCCAAGCCCACUAUGGUUGGGGAUUUCCUGCGUGGAUGAAAAUAAAAAGGGUGAGUUUGGGGAAACUCAGUGUGUAAGGAAAACCCAUUCAAAGCCCAAGUCAGCUCAAGCCCAUUGGGCCUAAGCCCAUUCAGGUAACAGUGGUACUGGGCCAGAGCCCUUUUCAGAUUACAAUAAACUGGGCCUUAGCCCCUUAUUCAGAUAACAGUAUGGCCCAUAGGCCCAUUUGGAAAUACAUGCAACAUCAAUAAACAUAUGCAAGCCCAUUUGGGGAGACUACUCAACCCACCAACCACUAUACUCCACCCGUACCAGCCAUACACUCCAUGUGGGGAAUAGCUCAACCCACCCAGCCUAACACUCCACAGUUGCAGCCUUGCUGCUCAGUUAACAGUAAAUUGAGGCAAAGCCUCCAGUAUGUGGACAAGCCACUUUCAGUACUUCCUCCGUCAAUAUCCCAAUCCCAUGCAUCAGAUAAUAACAACAUGGCAUGCAGUAAAUAACAACAGUCAAACAUGCAUUUAGGUCAAUUUAACCCUAGGGGUAUUUCGGUAAUUUAUCUCUUAGGGGUAAAACUGUAAAUUUUCCACUUUUAAAGGUAUUUCAGUAAUUUAUCUAUUUUAGGGUUUUUCAUGCAUAUUCCUACUUUUCACGUACUAACAGAAUCACGUACCGAGGGUUCUUACCGAAUUGGGCCUGUUGGCCCAUCAUUCCAAUUUUGGCCCAUUAAGCCCAAAAAUAUCGAGGGCACAGAAAUCAUGCACUUUGCAGUCCAAAUUUUGCAGCUUACCAAAAACAUUAAUCGAUUUACCUCACGAGCAUUCGCACACUCGCAAAUCUAAAAAAAUACCGAUUUUCGGUAUUUCAGCUUUUCGACUUUUGCCGAUCCAGACUAAGAAAGAGGGUGUUAGUUACACACCUGUUUGCGACGAUAUGCUGACGAGAUCCACACACGAACUGCCUACAAUUGGAUUACUAACAAGUUAAUCUAACUAUUCAAAUACAAACUACGUAUUAACCCCUUACAAUAUUCGGCCAACCACACCUACAGAUCAUAGUAAGCUUAUAAGAAAACAAUAAGCAACUCAUUAACAAAUUUUUGUCAAUGUUUACCACAUAAUCAUAAUUUCACUGCAAGCUGUCUUCCUGAGCAACAGUCACUAAAUCAUUUAUAACUGGAGCUACGAAACUCCAAAUCAAGUUCCGUUAAUUUUCCUUGAAGAUAGACUCAUAUAUAUUCUAUCCAUAAAAUUUUCAGAAUUUUUGGUUUAGCCAAUCAAUACCAGAUUUUUCUCAAAGUUUCCCAUGUUUCACUGUUUGACUAAUCUGACCACUCUUCAUUACGAAUCAAAUUUCUCAUUGUACAGAAUUAAAAAUAUGUUCUAGUUUAUUUCAUUAGAAACUAUACUUAAUAAGCUUUAAUUACAUAAUUUAUUCAGCUUCUAAUUCAUCUCCCACAAUUUAUGGUGAUUUUCCAAAGUCACGUUACUGCUGCUGUCCCAAGCAAAUUUAUUACCAAAUCACUCUUUCACACAUACCUUGCAUGCAUGUUAUUUAAACAUGUAUAUCACCAAUCAAUCAUCACAUAUCUAUGAUUUUACUUAAGUAUAAUCUCCAUUUCAUCAUUUUAAAGCACAACAUGUUAGCUGAUUUUUCCCUUUAACAUCUAAGGCACAUGCAUGCUCAUUUGUUUGGCUUAACUUCACCUAUCUUCCAUUUUUCAUCAAAAGAACAUGAAACAACAACAAUUUCCUUCAUUUUAAUUCAUGACUAAAUGCUCACAACACAACUAAAAAUCAAAAUAUACUUCAAGAGUUAAGGUAGAAUCAAGAAGAACUCAUGAACCUCAAAAUAGAAGCAAGGUACCAAGAACUUACCUUUAAUUUUCCUCUUCCUAAUGACCGAAUACUCAAGAGCUUUCUCCUCUCCUUUCUCUUCUCUAACUUUCAGCUAUGAUGAACAAAGAUGGACAAAACUUUGUUCUUUUC
This 2122-nucleotide long non-coding RNA is filed under the name Gossypium barbadense (sea-island cotton). Its description in RNAcentral is "long non-coding RNA (GBAR_LNC010926)". The record is from RNAcentral. Lineage: Eukaryota; Viridiplantae; Streptophyta; Magnoliopsida; Malvales; Malvaceae.